AUCCCAGGGGCAAAGGGUACCUCGUCGCCUUUGGAGGACUUGCUGUGCCCUUCAAAGUGAACUUAGAGGUUCUACACAC
Molecule: small nucleolar RNA, 79 nt
Filed under: Erinaceus europaeus (western European hedgehog)
Lineage: Eukaryota; Metazoa; Chordata; Mammalia; Eulipotyphla; Erinaceidae
Description: Small nucleolar RNA SNORA68 (ENSEEUG00000022646.1)
Rfam family: Small nucleolar RNA SNORA68
About the family: U68 is a member of the H/ACA class of small nucleolar RNAs (snoRNAs) which act as guides in the the modification of uridines to pseudouridines.
Source: Rfam by way of RNAcentral